UGGUUCCCACGCAGGCGCGAUUUAUGCAAAAGAAGCCCAUUUUUCCACGCUGAUUUGCUUUUGUCCAACACAUCUGCGGAGUGUGUACGGUGGACAGGCCCUCGGGAGGUGAUCUUGUGAACACUUGCUGAGGAUCCUUGAUGCCGAGUGCAGGAUGUUUCCUACCAGUUUGAAGCCAUGUCUGAAGGGUUCCGAGGUGGAAUGUUCUGCGCUGGCCGAUGGCGGCGUCGGGGGGGGGCACUGCACCGCAUGCCCAUGGUGACGAGGAAACAGCUGACGCAGGCAACAACGGCAUAGACCAACAUCUGAAGGAUGACAGUGGAAAAAGUUUGGACACCCCUGCCAUAUGGUCUCCACAUCAAAGGUCCAUUUCCCUACGAAGACCAUGCAUCCUGCCCAUCAACCAAUGGCCUCAGCAGCCAAGUUUGAUCACUCUAUGGAGGCUGUACACCCCUCCCAUCCCCACACCGCUGGCCCAUCACCAAAUGUCCACACCUAUGGUCCUUCACCCGGCGUACACAAUAGCUUGCUACCUGAAUCCACCUGAGAAUAAAAAGGCAGCUUUCCUGGCACCAGACAGGAGAGAUGCAGGCAACCCAUCUAUUGAGGACACUAUCUGUUAUCAACCACAGGCAGAAAAAUCAUGGACGCCAUGUGAUGGAAAAAAUGUGGGCAGAAAAAGAAGGAAUUGAAGAAGUCCUCUUGAAAAUAGAUCCGGUCCAAGUCAGAGUACUUCAAACUCUCUGCGACUUGGUUGGAGACAAAUACAGCGACGGCCCUCCUCAACAAUCGGGCCAGCAAGAGCUCUUUCCUGAGAGCGGCGUAUUCAUAUCAUUGUUCCGCCUUGCUGCCAUGAGACAUGCUGCAGAGCCCAAAUGUAGGCCUUUAUUUGGACCUCUUUUUUCUACGUGUCAAAAUGCUGUCCCUUUUUGACGCCCUGGAAACAAACCUGCAGGAACACCAAAGCGCAUCCUUAAGCGGAAAAAAGUGGAAGGAAUCCUUAGUAAGUUUUCCCAAACAGAGGGUGUUUUCAGGCCAAAAUUGGGUCACAAUAAUGAAAUAGAAGUUCAAUAUGAGAAAUGUUGAUCCCUUUUCGAUUACAGCAGACUGGAAGCAUAACUGAAUGUUACAUCAUUACAAUUUGUUAUCCACUCCAAACUAGCGUUAUGAUGAGCAAUAUAGUCUGAUGUCCAUCAACUUGAAGUGUGGUUGUGUGUAUUAAUGGUUUUGCGUAAAUGAAGGCUUUAAAGGGCAAUAAAAAAGCAUUAAAUGAGGCAUUUAAAAAAGGGAAUAUGAUUGUAGGACAUGGCGGACAGUCAAUAUGUCAAACGGUAAAGGAAAAUGAACUUAAGAAGGUUACAGUCGUUUCUUUUUUGAACUGCAUACAAGAGGUAUUGUAAGGUGGGAACACGACAAAAGCACUGCUUCAAUCAAGCAAAAUGAAACAUCAACUUUUCCAUUCUUUGGUCACUGUAGGCGUGUAGUCCUUAACUGUGACACCAUGUCAGGAUAAUGGAGAAGCUGAGCCGACACGGAGUCGUUUAUUUCAAU
Molecule: long non-coding RNA, 1551 nt
Organism: Nerophis ophidion (straightnose pipefish)
Lineage: Eukaryota; Metazoa; Chordata; Actinopteri; Syngnathiformes; Syngnathidae
Exons: 5
Source: RefSeq, a predicted model, not a curated record